CCUCAUGAAAACAAACAAAAAACACAUAACACAUAUAUCUUUGCACUGUUAAGAAACACUUGCUGGAAAACACUAGGGAGUAGGUCUAUCAACUUGCAUCAAAAUGAAACAAUACUGUUCAAUGCUGAAAAUAAAUGGCAGGCAACAUCCACAGCCGUUAGUCAAUAAACACCAUGUUUGGGCCACGAUAAAGAGUUCAUCUCCAUAUCAAUUUCUGAGUGACCUCCUGCUCUCUCUGGACUUUGCGGGGAACAAUGGUUCAUCACUUGUCGUGCAAGUCGAGAGUAAUAGUACUGUGACUGCACAGAUCUUCCAGCCCAGGUUGAAAUGGGAGUCACUUCCCUGUGUCCAUUGGUCUCCCUGCUACAUGCCCUCGGGAGCUCUGAGUCCCGGCAUCCCCUCUGGGUAUAUGGACUAUGGGUUGGAUAUGUUUCUACUCGGACCCCCUGCCCAGUUAAAAAAAGCGCAGCUGCAUGGAUCCGGGGUUUGCUUGAGAGAUGGGGCAUUUAGGUUGGCUAUGACUGCGCUGGAGACCUAUCACAGCGGCCAUUUUAUGUACACUGCAGGAACUCUGAGGUUGGCUGGCACUGUGAACCAUUUUGGCAUGCUUCUGUUGGCGUUGGGCCAGUUUUCUCCAAAAAUCCUCGAAGAUUGCAUCCAGCUUAGUGCUGAAGUCAGUUUGUGCAUUGAGGUUGGCAGCAGGACUCACUGUGCUCCCCUGGGACUGCAAGGGUGGUGCUGUGGCAGCCAUUAGAGACUCUUCGUGGCUGCGGGAGAUCAUGCUGUGGUAAUGAGGUAAGUGUCCCCAGCAGGGACUGGGAUAACCCCCACCGGUCCAUGGGAGGGGAGGGCAGCGGGACUGCUUUGGGUGGUCUGUUAUGAGUGUGUCCCCUUUCGGAGGAUUGGCCACUUCCCCCAGACACCAGGUUCUGCCCAGAGCUAGGCUGCAUGAUUGAACAGAUUGGUCUUGUGGCGUAACCGCUUAAGAUGGGUAUCACCGUGGUCACUAUGAUUUCUGCUCGGUCCUCCAGUCACCCAGAGCUGCACUCAGUACUGGUUCAGUCAGAAAAGGCUUGUUUUUGCUCAUAGGUGCCGGCUCUUAGAAAGCACAGCCGGCCACCUUGGCUGUCAGGCCCCACCCCCCGAUAAUCUAUUUUUUUUUUUAUUGCUAUUUGCUUACCCUACAAAUUCAAAAGCAUUAUCAAAUUGGUUAACUUGCCAGUCACCAAAAAGUACUACUGAGUGCGCUUAUAAUUCACCUAAAUGUGAAUCUUGCCUAGUAUUUUUAUUUAGUUUUACACAUCUGUCCAAUACAAAGUUUAACCCCUUAACGCUGUUACGGCGUUCUAUGCCAUCGGGCUUUAAAGACGUUGCGGCGGCAUAGAACGCCGUAACGGCUUAAGCCCAGGGGAGGUAAGAUUUACAUACCUCCGCCACGAUCCUCUUCUGGAGGGCUGCCUGACAGCCCAGGCAGCCCUCCCCCGGCAAAUGAGACCCC
Molecule: non-coding RNA, 1498 nt
Organism: Pelobates cultripes (western spadefoot toad)
Lineage: Eukaryota; Metazoa; Chordata; Amphibia; Anura; Pelobatidae
Source: the annotation of a GenBank genome assembly